Molecule: long non-coding RNA, 712 nt
Filed under: Homo sapiens (human)
Lineage: Eukaryota; Metazoa; Chordata; Mammalia; Primates; Hominidae
Description: HSALNT0002453
Source: RNAcentral
GCCUGGACCUCCUAGGCUCAAUGGAUCCUCCUGUCCGGACCUCCUGAGUAGCUGGGACUACAGGCAUGCACCACAGCGCCAGGCCAAUUUUUGUAUUUUUCUGUAGAGAUGGGGUUUCGCCAUGUGACCCAGGCUGGACUCAUCUUUUGCUCUCAGUGAGAUGGGGAAGCGUUGCAGAGUGUUGAGCCAAGGAGCGACAGGAUCCGACCUACCUUUGUAAAAGGUGCCUCAGGCUACUGUGUGGAGAACCCACUUCGGGGAGUCAAGGGAGGAGGGUGUUGCAGUAACCGGGUGAGAGAUGAUGAGGACAUAGACCAAGAUGACUGUGGGGGAGCAGGCUCAAACCGCUGUCCUAUUGAUGGGUCCCAUGCUGCCUUCCAACAUGUAAAGGAUGAAGGGACACCACAGGAUGGAAUAUGAGGAUCAGAGCUUUGCCCAUCGUGGACCUGCAUUUAAGAAGCUGAACCAUGAGAGUCUUCAUGGAUGAACACCAUGGUGAUGGGAUGUGUACCUCUGGGAGCCUUGGUACUAAGCUUCUGACAUCAUCCUGUGGCCUGGGCCCCAAGGAAUGGCCACUCCCUCCUACCCCUGCUGCACUUGAUCAGCUGUGAAUAAGCAUCCCAAGCCCCUUGCUUUGUGGCCACCUGUGGGAAGGGCUACUGAGGAGCCAACUUCAGGUAAGAAGUCGUAUAGGUGGAGUGAUGGCCCUGGG